AAGCUCGUAGUUGAAUUUCGGGAUUAGUACGUCGGUCGUGCCUUAGGUACGUACUGGUGUUACUGGUUCCUACCUUCUGACGAACCAUCAUGUCAUUAAUUUGGUGUGGUGGGGAAUCAGGACAGUUACUUUGAAAAAAUUAGAGUGUUUAAAGCAGGCUCGCGCUUGAAUACAUUAGCAUGGAAUAAUGAAAUAGGACGUUGAUCCUAUUUUGUUGGUUUCUAGGAUUGACGUAAUGAUUAAUAGGAUAGUUGGG
This 256-nucleotide ribosomal RNA is filed under the name uncultured Glomus. RNAcentral's name for it is "partial 18S ribosomal RNA". It matches the Rfam family "Eukaryotic small subunit ribosomal RNA", at positions 624 to 885 of the family's 1831-position model. Lineage: Eukaryota; Fungi; Glomeromycota; Glomeromycetes; Glomerales; Glomeraceae. The record is from RNAcentral.